RNAcentral lists this ribosomal RNA (1046 nucleotides) under uncultured fungus. Its description in RNAcentral is "eukaryotic LSU rRNA". The stretch from base 734 to 1046 matches the Rfam family "Eukaryotic large subunit ribosomal RNA", at positions 1 to 310 of the family's 3401-position model. Lineage: Eukaryota; Fungi. The record is from RNAcentral.
GGAAGGAUCAUUAAAAUGUUAAUCAGUCACGCUGCUGUGUGAACUGUAUAAAUCCACUCCGUGUACCCCAUCCCGUUGCUUCCGCUGGGUGUGCCCGGAGCAUUCUGGGACGAGCUUCCAAUUAACGCGAGGCCUAGUUCUGUGCUGAGAAGCUUCCCAUAAAAGCGUGGCCUAGUUCUGCGCCGUGAAGCUUCCAAUAAAAGUGCGGCCUAGAUAUGUCUGUGCUGUGAUGUUGGCGGCGUUUGCAGAACGCUUCGGACUUAAACCCACCCAGCGGGAGAAUAAAUAAUCUCUUGGGUGUUUUUACUAUUGAAUCUGUCUGAACGAGAAGAACCAAAGAAUUGUUAAAACUUUCAGCAACGGAUCUCUUGGUUCUCGCAUCGAUGAAGAACGCAGCGAAAUGCGAUAAGUAGUGUGAAUUGCAGAAUUCCGUGAAUCAUCGAAUCUUUGAACGCACAUUGCGCCUUUCGGUAUUCCGAAAGGCAUGCCUGUUCGAGAGUCAUAAAACCCUGUCAACUCCUGCUUGAUUUACUUUCAAGGGACUUGGUUAUGGUGGAAGAGGAGAGGAAAACAUCUGUAAGGAUCCUCUCCUCCCCAUCAAAAUUCAAUGGCGGGUCCGUACCCAUCCUCUGCUGAAGUGAGGCGUUGUAAAAGCUGUCAAGCACUUUUCGCCAACCAGCAGUUGGGAACGUUGGGCUCAUUGCCGUUAUCUAAAAACACCCCCUCCAAAGGUUGACCUCGGAUCAGGUAGGGAUACCCGCUGAACUUAAGCAUAUCAAUAAGCGGAGGAAAAGAAACCAACAGGGAUUGCCUCAGUAACUGCGAGUGAAGUGGCAAAAGCUCAAAUUUGAAAUCCGGUACCCCUGGUGCCUGAGUUGUAAUUUGGAGAGACUAAUUUGCAUAUGGCGCCGGCCUAGGUUCCUUGGAACAGGACAACAUAGAGGGUGAGAAUCCCGUUCCUGGCUGGACUGCUGUUUUGCGAUAAAUUGUCUUCGACGAGUCGAGUUGUUUGGGAAUGCAGCUCAAAAUGGGUGGUAAAUGUCAUC